RNAcentral lists this long non-coding RNA (819 nucleotides) under Patiria miniata (bat star). RNAcentral's name for it is "uncharacterized LOC119735749, transcript variant X3". Lineage: Eukaryota; Metazoa; Echinodermata; Asteroidea; Valvatida; Asterinidae. The record is from RNAcentral.
UUAAAUCCCACGCAAUGUCGAGUCCGCACACGUACCGUGCAAACAUAGCUGCAUGUCUGUUCCCCACUUUUCUUGAACUAAUCAAAGAUCUAAUGCUAGAUAAAAGAAGUGACAUUACACUGUACAGACUGUAAAAUGUGCAAGAGCAGAGGCCCAAAUACCGGUAUGAGCUACAAGUGACUGUCAGUCGAUGAUCUGAACUUUCUGUCGGACCGUGUACAGUGUUACCGGGUACCUCGCACUAUAACGCUACAUAUCAAAGUAUUCCUCAGGCUUGAAAGAAAUUGUGUUGGGGACUUUUGAGGACUCCCUGGUUUCAUUAUCAGGAGGAAGUACCGGUAAAAGGUGCAAGAGCAGAGGCCCAAAUACCGGUAUGAGCUACAAGUGACUGUCAGUCGAUGAUCUGAACUUUCUGUCGGACUGUGUACAGUGCACCUCACACUAAUGCUAUAUAUCAAAGGUAAAAUGUGCAAGAGCAGAGGCCCAAAUACCGGUAUGAGCUACAAGUGACUGUCAGUCGAUGAUCUGAACUUUCUGUCGGUCUGUGUACAGUGUACCGGGACCUCACACUAAUGCCACAUAUCAAAGUAUUCCUCAGGCUUGAAAGAAAUUGCGUUGGGGACUUUUGAGGACUCCCUGGUUUCAUUAUCAGGAGGAAAUACCGGUAAGUAAUUAAUUUUAUUACACUAACCUUCCCAAAUCCUCCAAAAUCCUCUUUGCAAAAUGGACGAUUUUGGCUACUUGGAUAAGUGUGGUGCUGAUUUUGGAGGAUGCACUGUGUCAAGGUCUUGGGGCAGACCUUGUGUUGUUUAUGCUCAG